This 75-nucleotide transfer RNA is filed under the name Podarcis lilfordi (Lilford's wall lizard). RNAcentral's name for it is "tRNA.Ala". It matches the Rfam family "tRNA". Rfam says of the family: Transfer RNA (tRNA) molecules are approximately 80 nucleotides in length. Their secondary structure includes four short double-helical elements and three loops (D, anti-codon, and T loops). Further hydrogen bonds mediate the characteristic L-shaped molecular structure. tRNAs have two regions of fundamental functional importance: the anti-codon, which is responsible for specific mRNA codon recognition, and the 3' end, to which the tRNAs corresponding amino acid is attached (by aminoacyl-tRNA synthetases). tRNAs cope with the degeneracy of the genetic code in two manners: having more than one tRNA (with a specific anti-codon) for a particular amino acid; and 'wobble' base-pairing, i.e. permitting non-standard base-pairing at the 3rd anti-codon position. The record is from RNAcentral. Lineage: Eukaryota; Metazoa; Chordata; Lepidosauria; Squamata; Lacertidae.
GGAAUGGAUGUAGCUCACAGGCAGAACAUCUGCUUUGCAUGCAGAAGGUCACAGGUUCAAUUCCUGGCAUCUCCA